CACCGGCCGCUCGAGUGGUGGCCACUUUUAUUGAGCCUAAAGCGUUCGUAGCCGGUUUUGUAAAUCCUCAGACAAAUUCUCCUGCUUAACGGGAGAUACUCUGGAGAGACUGCGAAACUAGGGACCGGGUGAGGUUGAAGGUACUUCUGGGGUAGGGGUAAAAUCCUGUAAUCCUGGAAGGACGACCAGUGGCGAAGGCGUUCAACUAGAACGGAUCCGGCGGUGAGGAACGAGGGCUAGGGGAGCAAACCGG
RNAcentral lists this ribosomal RNA (253 nucleotides) under uncultured archaeon. Its description in RNAcentral is "partial 16S ribosomal RNA". It matches the Rfam family "Archaeal small subunit ribosomal RNA", at positions 474 to 727 of the family's 1478-position model. The record is from RNAcentral.